GGAGCACGCCGCGUGAGUGAUGAAGGUUUUCGGAUCGUAAAGCUCUGUUGUUAGGGAAGAACAAGUGCCGUUCAAAUAGGGCGGCACCUUGACGGUACCUAACCAGAAAGCCACGGCUAACUACGUGCCAGCAGCCGCGGUAAUACGUAGGUGGCAAGCGUUGUCCGGAAUUAUUGGGCGUAAAGGGCUCGCAGGCGGUUUCUUAAGUCUGAUGUGAAAGCCCCCGGCUCAACCGGGGAGGGUCAUUGGAAACUGGGGAACUUGAGUGCAGAAGAGGAGAGUGGAAUUCCACGUGUAGCGGUGAAAUGCGUAGAGAUGUGGAGGAACACCAGUGGCGAAGGCGACUCUCUGGUCUGUAACUGACGCUGAGGAGCGAAAGCGUGGGGAGCGAACAGGAUUAGAUACCCUGGUAGUCCACGCCGUAAACGAUGAGUGCUAAGUGUUAGGGGGUUUCCGCCCCUUAGUGCUGCAGCUAACGCAUUAAGCACUCCGCCUGGGGAGUACGGUCGCAAGACUGAAACUCAAAGGAAUUGACGGGGGCCCGCACAAGCGGUGGAGCAUGUGGUUUAAUUCGAAGCAACGCGAAGAACCUUACCAGGUCUUGACAUCCUCUGACAAUCCUAGAGAUAGGACGUCCCCUUCGGGGGCAGAGUGACAGGUGGUGCAUGGUUGUCGUCAGCUCGUGUCGUGAGAUGUUGGGUUAAGUCCCGCAACGAGCGCAACCCUUGAUCUUAGUUGCCAGCAUUCAGUUGGGCACUCUAAGGUGACUGCCGGUGACAAACCGGAGGAAGGUGGGGAUGACGUCAAAUCAUCAUGCCCCUUAUGACCUGGGCUACACACGUGCUACAAUGGAC
Molecule: ribosomal RNA, 854 nt
Filed under: Bacillus velezensis
Lineage: Bacteria; Bacillati; Bacillota; Bacilli; Caryophanales; Bacillaceae
Also listed under: 1 other name
Description: bacterial SSU rRNA
Rfam family: Bacterial small subunit ribosomal RNA
Source: RNAcentral